Molecule: ribosomal RNA, 414 nt
Filed under: uncultured Alphaproteobacteria bacterium
Lineage: Bacteria; Pseudomonadati; Pseudomonadota; Alphaproteobacteria
Description: bacterial SSU rRNA
Rfam family: Bacterial small subunit ribosomal RNA
Source: RNAcentral
GAGUUUGAUCAUGGCUCAGAACGAACGCUGGCGGCAGGCCUAACACAUGCAAGUCGAGCGCCCUCUUCGGAGGGAGCGGCGGACGGGUUAGUAACGCGUGGGAAUAUGCCCCUGGGUAAGGAACAACAUCUGGAAACGGAUGCUAAUACCUUAUGAUGUCUACGGACCAAAGAUUUAUCGCCCAGGGAUUAGCCCGCGUUGGAUUAGGUAGUUGGAGGGGUAACGGCCCACCAAGCCUACGAUCCAUAGCUGGUUUGAGAGGAUGACCAGCAACACUGGGACUGAGACACGGCCCAGACUCCUACGGGAGGCAGCAGUGGGGAAUCUUAGACAAUGGGGGAAACCCUGAUCUAGCCAUGCCGCGUGAUUGAUGAAGGCCUUAGGGUUGUAAAGAUCUUUCGCUGGGGACGAUAA